This 460-nucleotide ribosomal RNA is filed under the name uncultured bacterium. RNAcentral's name for it is "partial 16S ribosomal RNA". It matches the Rfam family "Bacterial small subunit ribosomal RNA", at positions 338 to 795 of the family's 1533-position model. The record is from RNAcentral.
GCUACGGGAGGCAGCAGUGAGGAAUAUUGGUCAAUGGACGAGAGUCUGAACCAGCCAAGUAGCGUGAAGGAUGACUGCCCUAUGGGUUGUAAACUUCUUUUAUAAAGGAAUAAAACGAGGCACGUGUGCCUUUUUGCAUGUACUUUAUGAAUAAGGAUCGGCUAACUCCGUGCCAGCAGCCGCGGUAAUACGGAGGGUCCGAGUGUUAUCCGGAUUUGUUGGGUUUAAAGGGAGCGUAGAUGGGUUGUUAAGUCAGUUGUGAAAGUGUGCGGCUCAACCGUAAAAUUGCAAUUGAUACUGGCAGUCUUGAGUACAGUUGAGGUAGGCAGAAUUCGUGGUGUAGCGGUGAAAUGCUUAGAUAUCACGAAGAACCCCGAUUGCGAAGGCAGCUUACUAAACUGUGACUGACAUUGAUGCUCGAAAGUGUGGGUAUCAAACAGGAUUAGAUACCCGUGUAGUC